Molecule: ribosomal RNA, 300 nt
Filed under: uncultured Arthrobacter sp.
Lineage: Bacteria; Bacillati; Actinomycetota; Actinomycetes; Micrococcales; Micrococcaceae
Description: bacterial SSU rRNA
Rfam family: Bacterial small subunit ribosomal RNA
Source: RNAcentral
CACGUGAGUAACCUGCCCUUGACUCUGGGAUAAGCCUGGGAAACUGGGUCUAAUACCGGAUACGACCAUCUGGCGCAUGUCAUGGUGGUGGAAAGCUUUUGUGGUUUUGGAUGGACUCGCGGCCUAUCAGCUUGUUGGUGGGGUAAUGGCCUACCAAGGCGACGACGGGUAGCCGGCCUGAGAGGGUGACCGGCCACACUGGGACUGAGACACGGCCCAGACUCCUACGGGAGGCAGCAGUGGGGAAUAUUGCACAAUGGGCGCAAGCCUGAUGCAGCGACGCCGCGUGAGGGAUGACGG